CCAGAAUAAAAAUUUGAUCAGUGCUACAGGGACUACUGGAGGUUCUCCACAAUCACAAUUACCCUAGGAAAGGUUUGCAGUGUUACUUCUAUUCCUUAAUUAGCUCACAACAACAGCAGAAAAUGACUGCACUCAGGCAGUGUGCCUGCACACCUCCACGCUCCACAGGUGCUUGAAGCACCACGGACGCCCCAGCUCCCCGCUAGGAGCCCUCCACCCCCCCCUCCUACAGG
Molecule: long non-coding RNA, 233 nt
Filed under: Chrysolophus pictus (golden pheasant)
Lineage: Eukaryota; Metazoa; Chordata; Aves; Galliformes; Phasianidae
Description: lncRNA (ENSCPIG00010002748.1)
Source: RNAcentral